This 304-nucleotide ribosomal RNA is filed under the name uncultured bacterium. Its description in RNAcentral is "bacterial SSU rRNA". It matches the Rfam family "Bacterial small subunit ribosomal RNA", at positions 61 to 358 of the family's 1533-position model. The record is from RNAcentral.
GUCGAGCGAGAACUGGGCUUCGAGAAUUGGGGAAAGCGGCGAUCGGGUGAGUAACAAAUGAGUCAUCCACCCUCGGCACCGGGAUAGCCCGGGGAAACCCUGACUAAUACCGGAUGGCCCGUCUGCCCUUCGGGGCGGCCGGAAAAGGUAGCUUCGGCCUCCGGCCGAGGACGAGCUCGCGGCGGAUUAGCUUGUUGGCGGGGUAACGGCCCACCAAGGCGACGAUCCGUAGCUGGUCUGAGAGGACGAUCAGCCACACUGGGACUGAGACACGGCCCAGACUCCUACGGGAGGCAGCAGUGGG